UAGGGAAUCUUCCACAAUGGACGAAAGUCUGAUGGAGCAACGCCGCGUGAGUGAAGAAGGUUUUCGGAUCGUAAAGCUCUGUUGUUGGUGAAGAAGGAUAGAGGCAGUAACUGGUCUUUAUUUGACGGUAAUCAACCAGAAAGUCACGGCUAACUACGUGCCAGCAGCCGCGGUAAUACGUAGGUGGCAAGCGUUGUCCGGAUUUAUUGGGCGUAAAGCGAGCGCAGGCGGAAUGAUAAGUCUGAUGUGAAAGCCCACGGCUCAACCGUGGAACUGCAUCGGAAACUGUCAUUCUUGAGUGCAGAAGAGGAGAGUGGAACUCCAUGUGUAGCGGUGGAAUGCGUAGAUAUAUGGAAGAACACCAGUGGCGAAGGCGGCUCUCUGGUCUGCAACUGACGCUGAGGCUCGAAAGCAUGGGUAGCGAACAGGAUUAGAUACCCUGGUAGUCCAUGCCGUAAACGAUGAGCGCUAGGUGUUGGGGACUUUCCGGUCCUCAGUGCCGCAGCAAACGCAUUAAGCGCUCCGCCUGGGGAGUACGACCGCAAGGU
Molecule: ribosomal RNA, 548 nt
Filed under: uncultured bacterium
Lineage: Bacteria
Description: partial 16S ribosomal RNA
Rfam family: Bacterial small subunit ribosomal RNA
Source: RNAcentral